ACACCUGUAGUUUAAUGGAUAAAACGUGGUCCUCCGGAGACCAAACUAGGAGUUCGAUUCUCCUCAGGUGUG
RNAcentral lists this transfer RNA (72 nucleotides) under Lachnospiraceae bacterium. RNAcentral describes it as "tRNA-Arg". It matches the Rfam family "tRNA". Rfam says of the family: Transfer RNA (tRNA) molecules are approximately 80 nucleotides in length. Their secondary structure includes four short double-helical elements and three loops (D, anti-codon, and T loops). The record is from RNAcentral. Lineage: Bacteria; Bacillati; Bacillota; Clostridia; Lachnospirales; Lachnospiraceae.